This 302-nucleotide ribosomal RNA is filed under the name uncultured bacterium. RNAcentral describes it as "partial 16S ribosomal RNA". It matches the Rfam family "Bacterial small subunit ribosomal RNA", at positions 508 to 807 of the family's 1533-position model. The record is from RNAcentral.
GCAGCAGCCGCGGUAACACGGAGGGUGCAAGCGUUAAUCGGAAUUACUGGGCGUAAAGCGCACGCAGGCGGUCUGACAAGUCAGAUGUGAAAUCCCCGGGCUUAACCUGGGAACUGCAUUUGAAACUGUCAGGCUGGAGUCUUGUAGAGGGGGGUGGAAUUCCAGGUGUAGCGGUGAAAUGCGUAGAGAUCUGGAGGAAUACCGGUGGCGAAGGCGGCCCCCUGGACAAAGACUGACGCUCAGGUGCGAAAGCGUGGGGAGCAAACAGGAUUAGAUACCCGCGUAGUCCCUGUCUCUUAUAC